AUAUUUAAAAAAAAGAAUUAGCGAAAUCGGUCCAACCGUUCUCGAGUUUUGCGCUUAGCAACACAUUCAGCGACUCAUUUUUAUAUUAUACACUCGCGUGCAACUGAAUCGACUCAAGCCGUAUAUUGGUAUAUAAGUUUGAUUUUUCGGAAAAUGGCUUAUCCGAUUUUUGUAAAAGAUUUUUUUAUUCCAAAGACACAUAUUUUUUUCAUAAAUAUAGCCAUUUUCAAAUAAACAAUGAAAAAACUUUUUAAAUAAAUACGGUCAAACAUGAGCGUUACAGAAAUUACCCGUUGCGGUACCCAUGAGUUGCGAGACUAAAUCAUGUAUAAGAGCUCACGUGACCCAUAUUUCUUAUCAAUCACUCGUCAGACGUUGACAGGUACACA
This 389-nucleotide unclassified non-coding RNA is filed under the name Melitaea cinxia (Glanville fritillary). RNAcentral's name for it is "misc RNA ENSMCXG00005018835.1". The record is from RNAcentral. Lineage: Eukaryota; Metazoa; Arthropoda; Insecta; Lepidoptera; Nymphalidae.